RNAcentral lists this ribosomal RNA (468 nucleotides) under uncultured bacterium. Its description in RNAcentral is "partial 16S ribosomal RNA". It matches the Rfam family "Bacterial small subunit ribosomal RNA", at positions 28 to 507 of the family's 1533-position model. The record is from RNAcentral.
GACGAACGCUGGCGGCGUGCUUAACACAUGCAAUUCGAACGGAAAGGCCCUGCUUUUGUGGGGUGCUCGAGUGGCGAACGGGUGAGUAACACGUGAGUAACCUGCCCUUGACUUUGGGAUAACUUCAGGAAACUGGGGCUAAUACCGGAUAUGAGCUCCUGCUGCAUGGUGGGGGUUGGAAAGUUUCGGCGGUUGGGGAUGGACUCGCGGCUUAUCAGCUUGUUGGUGGGGUAGUGGCUUACCAAGGCUUUGACGGGUAGCCGGCCUGAGAGGGUGACCGGCCACAUUGGGACUGAGAUACGGCCCAGACUCCUAAGGGAGGAAGCAGUGGGGAAUAUUGCACAAUGGGCGGAAGCCUGAUGCAGCAACGCCGCGUGCGGGAUGACGGCCUUCGGGUUGUAAACCGCUUUCGCCUGUGACGAAGCGUGAGUGACGGUAAUGGGUAAAGAAGCACCGGCUAACUAAGUG